This 340-nucleotide ribosomal RNA is filed under the name uncultured Methanococcus sp. RNAcentral describes it as "bacterial SSU rRNA". It matches the Rfam family "Archaeal small subunit ribosomal RNA", at positions 347 to 688 of the family's 1478-position model. Lineage: Archaea; Methanobacteriati; Methanobacteriota; Methanococci; Methanococcales; Methanococcaceae. The record is from RNAcentral.
CCUUUACAAUGCACGAAAGUGUGAUAAGGCAAUCCAAAGUGCUUACACAUAGUGUAGGCUUUUGCCAAUGCUAAAUCCAUUGGCGAAUAAGUGGUGGGUAAGACUGGUGCCAGCCGCCGCGGUAACACCAGCGCCACAAGUGGGAACCAUGUUUAUUGGGCUUAAAGCGUUCGUAGCCUGUUUGGUAAAUCUUUUGUGAAAUUGUUAUCCUCAAUAUAACAGCGAGCAGAAGAGACUGCCAAACUAGGGACCGGGAGGGGUCAGGAGUAUGCCGUGGGGAGCGGUAAAAUGCUAUAAUCCUCGGUGGACUACCAUUGGUGAAGACGCCUGACUAGAACGG